Molecule: ribosomal RNA, 415 nt
Filed under: uncultured bacterium
Lineage: Bacteria
Description: bacterial SSU rRNA
Rfam family: Bacterial small subunit ribosomal RNA
Source: RNAcentral
GGACCCGCACAAGCGGUGGAGCAUGUGGUUUAAUUCGAUGCAACGCGAAAAACCUUACCUAUACUUGACAUACUUGGAAUGCUUUGUAAUGAAGCAGUGCCUUCGGGAGCCAAGAUACAGGUGCUGCAUGGCUGUCGUCAGCUCGUGUCGUGAGAUGUUCCGUUAAGUCGGAUAACGAGCGCAACCCUUACCCUUAUUUGCCAGCGAUUCGGUCGGGAACUAUAAGGGGACUGCCGGUGAUAAACCGGAGGAAGGUGAGGACGACGUCAAGUCAUCAUGGCCCUUACGUAUAGGGCUACACACGUGCUACAAUGGAGAAUACAGACGGACGCUAAGCCGCGAGGUGGUGCCAAUCCUAGAAAAUUCUUCGUAGUCCGGAUUGGAGUCUGCAACUCGACUCCAUGAAGUCGGAAUC